UUGCAUUCAGCUUUGGUGCAAUCCAGAGAGAUCGAUUUGAAGAAAAAAGGGCAGGUUCAGGAGGCACUGAAUUACUACUCCAUAGAAUCUUCCUUUGCCCUUCUUAUCUCCUUUAUGAUCAAUUUGUUUGUUACAACUGUCUUUGCCAAGGGAUUUUAUGGCAGUGAGCAAGCUGGUAGUUUAGGCCUUGUAAAUGCAGGGCAGUUUCUUCAAGACAAGUAUGGUGGGGGACUGUUCCCAAUUCUCUAUAUUUGGGGCAUUGGGUUACUGGCAGCUGGGCAGAGUAGUACGAUAACUGGUACUUAUGCUGGACAGUUUAUUAUGGGAGGUUUUCUAGAUCUACGUUUGAAGAAAUGGCUUAGGGCACUGAUUACUCGAAGUUGUGCCAUUGUGCCAACAAUCAUUGUCGCUCUGAUUUUUAAUAGAUCUGAAUCAUCACUCGACGUUUUGAAUGAGUGGCUUAACGUGCUUCAGUCUAUACAGAUCCCUUUUGCGCUUAUUCCCCUUCUGACAUUGGUGUCCAAGGAGGAUAUAAUGGGUACUUUCAAAAUUGGGCCUGCUCUCGAGAGAGUUGCAUGGACAAUUGCUGUACUUGUGAUGGUGAUAAACGGCUAUCUUUUGCUGGACUUCUUUGUCUCUGAGGUCAACGGACCACUGUUUGCUUUUCUGGUUUGUGCUGGGACUGCAGGUUAUGUUGCCUUCAUUUUAUACCUUAUUUCACAUGGGGGUGGCAAUGUUGCCAACUGGUUCAACCUACUCCGCACAAAAGGAUAUAGCUAUGCUGGUCAAUGAGACAUCUAAGACAAUACAUUCAAUCAAAUCCAGACGUCGUAAAUAUAGUAAAUCACUACAUUGCAGAGAGGCCAUGGCCAUGGGGAAGUUUGAUUACUGAAGCAUUCUUUUCAUCUGAAGAGGUUCCAAUUUCUUUAUGUCCUAACUGUCAUAAUAGCUUUUGAGAAACUGCCAGCGUUUGCUUUUAGCUGUAGGUUCCCCAAAAGAAAUAAUGGAGCAAACUAUCCCGGAUAUUGACAACAGUUAUAUAUAGAGGAUGAAGAAAGUAUAUAGUCCGCCGGAUGAAGAUACUUGUUCAUUGCAGGCGUAAACAAUCCACAAAAAAAUGUUGUAUUUAUCGAAUAGAGACG
Molecule: unclassified non-coding RNA, 1142 nt
Filed under: Hevea brasiliensis (rubber tree)
Lineage: Eukaryota; Viridiplantae; Streptophyta; Magnoliopsida; Malpighiales; Euphorbiaceae
Source: RNAcentral